GAUGAACGCUGGCGGCGUGCCUAAUACAUGCAAGUCGAGCGAACGGACGAGAAGCUUGCUUCUCUGAUGUUAGCGGCGGACGGGUGAGUAACACGUGGAUAACCUACCUAUAAGACUGGGAUAACUUCGGGAAACCGGAGCUAAUACCGGAUAAUAUUUUGAACCGCAUGGUUCAAAAGUGAAAGACGGUCUUGCUGUCACUUAUAGAUGGAUCCGCGCUGCAUUAGCUAGUUGGUAAGGUAACGGCUUACCAAGGCAACGAUGCAUAGCCGACCUGAGAGGGGAGUCGGCCCACGAGGAACUGAGACGCGGUCCAAACCCCUAGGGGGGGCAGCAGGAGGGAAUUUUCCGAAAAGGGAGAAAGCCGGAGGGAGAAACCCGGGGGGAGGGAAGAGGGUUUUCGGAUCUAAAAACUUUUUUUUGAGGGAAAAAAAAAUUGGUAAGUAACGUGACAAAUCUUGGAGGACCCAAAACAAAAGGCCACGGAAAACUACGU
RNAcentral lists this ribosomal RNA (496 nucleotides) under uncultured bacterium. RNAcentral describes it as "partial 16S ribosomal RNA". It matches the Rfam family "Bacterial small subunit ribosomal RNA", at positions 28 to 506 of the family's 1533-position model. The record is from RNAcentral.